CCCGGGCGACCGGCGCACGGGUGAGUAACACGUAUGCAACCUGGCCGUGACAGAUGGAUAACCGGGAGAAAUCCCGCCUAAUACAACAUAAUGCCGGGAGGGGACAUCCCCUGCCGGCCAAAGGGGGCGACCCCGGUCACGGAUGGGCAUGCGGCGCAUUAGGUAGUUGGUGGGGCAACGGCCCACCAAGCCGACGAUGCGUAGGGGUUCUGAGAGGAAGGUCCCCCACAUUGGAACUGAGACACGGUCCAAACUCCUACGGGAGGCAGCAG
RNAcentral lists this ribosomal RNA (272 nucleotides) under uncultured bacterium. RNAcentral's name for it is "partial 16S ribosomal RNA". It matches the Rfam family "Bacterial small subunit ribosomal RNA", at positions 86 to 354 of the family's 1533-position model. The record is from RNAcentral.